Molecule: ribosomal RNA, 478 nt
Filed under: uncultured bacterium
Lineage: Bacteria
Description: partial 16S ribosomal RNA
Rfam family: Bacterial small subunit ribosomal RNA
Source: RNAcentral
GACGAACGCUGGCGGCGUGCUUAACACAUGCAAGUCGAACGGUAAGGCCCUUCGGGGUACACGAGUGGCGAACGGGUGAGUAACACGUGGGUGAUCUGCCCUGCACUUCGGGAUAAGCCUGGGAAACUGGGUCUAAUACCGGAUAGGACUCCGGACUGCAUGGUCUGGGGUGGAAAGCUUUUGCGGUGUGGGAUGGGCCCGCGGCCUAUCAGCUUGGUGGGGGGGUGAUGGCCUACCAAGGCGACGACGGGUAGCCGGCCUGAGAGGGUGACCGGCCAAACUGGGACUGAGGUACGGCCCAGACUCGUACGGGAGGCAGCAGUGGGGAAUAUUGCACAAUGGGCGCAAGCCUGAUGCAGCGACGCCGCGUGAGGGAUGACGGCCUUCGGGUUGUAAACCUCUUUCAGCAUCGACGAAGCGAAAGUGACGGUAGGUGCAGAAGAAGGACCGGCCAACUACGUGCCAGCAGCCGCAGUAA